UUCCAUGUCAACUUCGACUCUGGAUCAGUUGUGUAAGUGGUCCUUUCUUCCGUAGUUUUUUCUUCUUUGGUUUUCCGUUCUGGUUUCAUGGUACUUUCAAAGCAGAGCAUCCGGCAAGGCAGAGUGCUAUCGAGCUCUUUCUUUCCAAGCACAGCAGGGCCCGUCGUCCACUUUCGCCAGGACUUCUCCCGAGAGCAAAUGCAGGAGCUUCUGGCCGUGAUCCGAGAGCUGCCGAGCGGAGGUCUGGAGUUCACCCCAGUGACUUGCGGUGGGCGAUUCAGGCGCUUCCAGCAGUCGGGAGGGAUUUGCAGCGGCAGUAUAGCAACGAUCGGUGGACGGGCAGCAACAACAACGACGAUGGAAACAACCGAAGGGGCUGGCGUGGUCACGGAGACAACAACAACAGUGGAGACUGGAGAGAGGCACCCGUCCCUCGUCGCUGUGAGAGUGCUGCUUGCAUUUCUCGGCUUUCCAUCUGUCGUUUGCUUCGUCGCCACCACCGCAAUGCUCGUGAGCUUGUAAGUUCUCCUCCUUGGCUCUUUGUGUUCUAGUUUCGUGAGCUUUGGCUUUCAGAAGAGCAGUGAGCAGUGACAAAUUUGUGGCGAUUUGGACUUUUGCUUGGACAGGCAAGUUGGUGUUCUUGUUUUCUUUUGUUCGUUGAAAAAGUACAGCCAAGAAAUUCUUCGUCCGAAAGCACGGAAGAUUUCUGGCUUUG
RNAcentral lists this long non-coding RNA (715 nucleotides) under Selaginella moellendorffii. Its description in RNAcentral is "long non-coding RNA (SMOE_LNC000080)". Lineage: Eukaryota; Viridiplantae; Streptophyta; Lycopodiopsida; Selaginellales; Selaginellaceae. The record is from RNAcentral.